RNAcentral lists this ribosomal RNA (433 nucleotides) under uncultured bacterium. RNAcentral's name for it is "partial 16S ribosomal RNA". It matches the Rfam family "Bacterial small subunit ribosomal RNA", at positions 29 to 507 of the family's 1533-position model. The record is from RNAcentral.
AACGAACGCUGGCGGCAUGCCUAACACAUGCAAGUCGAACGAGACCUUCGUGUCUAGUUGCGCACGUGUGCGUAACGCGUGGUAACCUGCCCUUAGGUUCGGAAUAACUCCCCGAAAGGUAUGCUAAUACCGCAUAAUGUCUUCGGACCAACGAUCUAUCGCCUUUGGAUGGGCCCGCGUUGGAUUAGCUAGUUGGUAGGGUAAAAGCCUACCAAGGCGACGAUCCAUAGCUGGUCUGAGAGGAUGAUCAGCCACACUGGGACUGAGACACGGCCCAGACUCCUACGGGAGGCAGCAGUGGGGAAUAUUGGACAAUGGGCGAAAGCCUGAUCCAGCCAUGCCGCGUGAGUGAUGAAGGCCUUAGGGUUGUAAAGCUCUUUUACACGGGAUGAUAAUGGCAGUAACGGGAGAAUAAGCUCCGGCUAACUCCGUG